This 497-nucleotide ribosomal RNA is filed under the name uncultured bacterium. RNAcentral's name for it is "partial 16S ribosomal RNA". It matches the Rfam family "Bacterial small subunit ribosomal RNA", at positions 28 to 507 of the family's 1533-position model. The record is from RNAcentral.
GAUGAACGCUGGCGGCGUGCCUAAUACAUGCAAGUCGAGCGAACGGACGAGAAGCUUGCUUCUCUGAUGUUAGCGGCGGACGGGUGAGUAACACGUGGAUAACCUACCUAUAAGACUGGGAUAACUUCGGGAAACCGGAGCUAAUGCCGGAUAAUAUUUUGAACCGCAUGGUUCAAAAGUGAAAGACGGUCUUGCUGUCACUUAUAGAUGGAUCCGCGCUGCAUUAGCUAGUUGGUAAGGUAACGGCUUACCAAGGCAACGAUGCAUAGCCGACCUGAGAGGGUGAUCGGCCACACUGGAACUGAGACACGGUCCAGACUCCUACGGGAGGCAGCAGUAGGGAAUCUUCCGCAAUGGGCGAAAGCCAGACGGAGCAACGCCGCGUGAGUGAUGAAGGUCUUCGGAUCGUAAAACUCUGUUAUUAGGGAAGAACAUAUGUGUAAGUAACUGUGCACAUCUUGACGGUACCUAAUCAGAAAGCCACGGCUAACUACGUG